GAGGAACCUCCAUGCUAUUUUCCAUAAGGGCUGCACUAAUUUACAUUCCCACUGAUGGUGUAUGAGAGAGUUCCUUUUUUCUCUGCAUCCUUCCCAGCAUUUGUUACUUUUUGUCUUUCCGAUAAUAGCCAUUCUAACUGGGGUGAGACAGUAUAUGGUUGUGGUUUUGAUUUGCAUUUCCCUGAUUAAUGAUGUUGAGUAUUUUGUGAUAUAUCUGCUGGCUACUUGUAAAUCUUCUUUGGGGAAAUGUCUAUUCAGGCCCUUUGCCCAUUUUAAAAUUGGAUGAUGAUUAUUAUUAUUAUUAUUUUUGCUGUUGAGUUGUAUGAGUUCCUUAUGUAUUAUGACUAUUAAUCCCUUGUCAGGUGCAUAGUUUGCAAAUACUUUCUUCCAUUUUGUAGGUUGUCUCUUCACUGUGUUGAUUGUUUCCUUUGUUGUAUGGAAACUUUUUAGUUUGAUGUAAUCCCAUUUGUCUAUUUUUCCUUUUGUUGCCUGUGUUUUUGAAGUAUUUUCCAAAAAAUCUUUGCCUACUCCAGUGUCAUGAAUAAUUUUCCCUAUGUUGUUUUUCUAGUAGUUUCAUAGUUUCAUGUCUUACAUUUCAACUUUUUAUCCAUUUUGAGUUGACUUUUGUAUACGGUCAGAGAUAGGCAUCUAGUUUCAUUGUUCUGCAUAUAAAUAUCUAGUUUUUCCAGCAUCUUUUAUUGAAGAGACUGUCCUUUUCCCAGUAAGUGCUAUUGACACCUUUGUUGAAAAUCAGUUGGCUGUAAAUGCGGAGAUUUAUUUUUGGGCUGUCUACUUUGUUCUAUUAGUGUAUGAGUCUGUUUUUAUGCCAGUACCUUGCUGUUUUGGUUACUAUAGCUUUGUGGUCUCUUUUAAAGUCUUCUAUCUCUUUCCAGCAGUGUAGUCUUGUCAAGCUACUUCAUCUCCCAGUAGCUGUUUCCUCACUGGGAAAAUAAGAGUUGCAGGCAGGAUUAAAUUCAAUAUGAAUUUAAUUUCCUGAAAAAGUCUUCUUAGGACCAUUGCUCCAUAAAUAAUGAAGAUUUUAGAGAAUAAGAAUGUGAUUUAUGGGAGCCAUAUGUUGUUGGGUGCUGCAUCCUUGGCAGUUUUCUAUAUUUUUCCUGUGGGGAGGCUCAACAAGUCAAUGAAUUGUGACAUGCCCUCACCAGAGGCUGCUUCCAUGGUGUGUGUGGUUUGAGACUGAAGAUGCUCAGUCUAGGCCAAAUGUCUGAUCUAGCCAUUUUGCCAUUUCACAUCAGCAAAGGGUGUGUGUGUGUGUGUGUGUGUGUGUGUGUGUGUGUGUACAGUGAGGGCGAUGGGUGCAGAGCUUUUUCGACACUAACCCUUUCUGGCAGGAACCUUCCCACCUCAGUUGACGUGGCUCUUUCUCCUGUCUCUCUACCACUUUAGCUUCUAAUAUUUUUAGCUCUGAGGGCUGACCAUGGCAAUGAGCUUUUUCACCAGGCACAUGACAAGUGUGUGAGACCCUCAGGGGGUCUGAGUUUGUCCUUGGACCAGGCCAUCCUGCGAAGUCUCUGUCUUGUUCCUCCUGAUGGAAUCUGGCCUCACACACUUGGCCCCUGAAGAGGAGCUCGUGUCCAGAAUGUGUGAUGUGGGAGGGGGAUGAUUGUCCCACUCCUCUCCCCAGCAUCAAAUUGAGCCUCUGGGAAACUGUGACUUCAGCAGAAUUCCUUAAAGAAUGUUGGUGCCUCACUUCACGGUUAGGGUAGGGUGGAAGGAAAGAUAUUCUGGCAGCAGGCUCUUGAGUUCCUACUGGGUGGACAUGCUGUCUUAGCUGACAAGGGUAAUUAUUGUUCCCCAGGCCAUUGUGAUGGAGUUGAGAAUAGCAAACCUAGAUGAAAUGACUUGAGAUGCUUAGAAAGGAAUUUAGCAACAAGUGGAGAGUAAUAUAGUGAAGAUCAAGUGCUGAGUGUCUACCAGGAAAGAACCCAUCCAAGUCAGUUCCAAAUCCCUUUGCAGAGACUUCCUGAUUAGGUGACUUUUGAAAGGGUUUUGGAGAAACUUUUCUUCUACGGAAGUUCCUGGAGCUUUGACUCCAGGCCACAGCCAACACAUCCUGGUGCUGCAGGAUUACAAAAAUCACCCUCAAGGAGGAAACUGUAGACCUGGAUUUUUGGAAAAGAAGAGGUAGGCUGGUGUGAUUCUCUAUGACAUGCAAGUUGCACCCUGGAUUGCCUUUCUGUUCGUGAGCACUUCAUAUUUGCUGGCAAUUGGGCAACCAGUGCCAUCACCUCAUUCACUCCUGACAACAACUCAUGUAUACAUGGGUGCCACAGCCAAGCAAGGGUGGGCAAGCUGCCCAGAGUUAAGAGCAGAAUAGGGGUCCCGGUCCAGGGUGGUCUGACCACAGAAGCCCUGCUCCUUACACUGCAUUUGUUUCCUGCCUUGUAAGAAAUGACACAGCCCCAUCUAGGACAUGAAUGAGGAUCUGUUAGGCACCAGGCACCAUUCAGAGCCCUUGGUCAACAUUUUCCCACACAGUCGUUUGGGAAACCUAGUACAGUCCACUAGGUCGGUGCUGUUAUUGGCCUGGCUGUCAAGGAACAACAGGUAUAAAUAUAAAGCUAAUGGUAAGCAAGGUCCCUCCCGGUGCAGUGUGCCUCUCAGUCAGCUGCAUGCUCAGCCACGUUACCCAAGUUAUAUCCUGCUUGGAUGCCCAGAAAGGCUUGAUAAAAACAUGAUGUGUAGAGUCUGAGUGAAGUGUGUAUGUGAGUAUAUGUGUGCGCAUGUAUGUAUGUGAGUAUAUGUGUGCGCAUGUAUGUAUGUGCAUGUGUGUGCAUGUAUGUGUGUGCGCAUGUAUGUAUGUGAGUAUAUGUGUGCGCAUGUAUGUAUGUGAGUAUGUGUGCACAUGUAUGUAUGUGAGUAUAUGUGUGCGCAUGUAUGCAUGUGCAUGUGUGCGCAUGUAUGUAUGUGAGUAUAUGUGUGUGCAUGUAUGUAUGUGAGUAUAUGUGUGCGCAUGUAUGUAUGUGAGUAUAUGCGUGCGCAUGUAUGUAUGUGCAUGUGUGCUUACAUUUGCAUCACAUAUGUAUGUGUCUGUGUGCACAUAUGCACGUGUAUACAUGUGCCUGUGUAUGUGCACAUAAACAGUGUCUUUGAGGGCUUGGCAAUCUGUGUUGAUGUUAUUGAAGCUCUGCACCUGACUUCUGGUCACUUUUCUGUUACUGACCAGCUAAAUAACUUUGAGUAAGUCAUUGAACUUAUUUGGACACUAGUUCCAUCAACUGUUAGAUAUGAGGAUGGGAAUGGAUUGUCUCAAAGAUCCUUUUGAGUUCAAAAAGUCUAUGAUACCAGUGAGAAUGUUCCAAAGCCUUAAUGACACCUCACUGAAUGCAGCUUAAAAUGGCUGCAAGCUGACCAGACGAUUGCAUUCUCCAAGGUGAGCUGCCCUUCAUACCUCAUGCCCUUGAAUAAUGCAGCGUAAGUGUGUUUAUUGUGCCAGCUCUUCUUGUAGUUUUAUUCUAAUCCCUCGUCUCAGGCAACAUUUGUUUUGGCUGCAGUUCGAUACUUCCUCCUUCAGAGCUAUGCUUGGUUUUACCUCUAAUUCUGUGGCCCUCAGGGGCUGGUUGUACUGAUAAACUUUUACAAGUAAAAGGAGCUGUGGAGAUGACCUCCAGCUGGGGCUGAAGGCCUAUACAGCAGCACCUUCUUGCUGAAGCUAAGUGAUCCUCUUGGGGAGGAGGGUUGGGGGUCCAGGGCCCCUGAAGUCAGGAUUCCCCAGUGAGUUGGUCAAUGUGGACUUAGAUCUUGUUGAAAUAUCCAGAAGUAUUUCUAAGUAGAAUAUUUUUGAUCACAGAAACAAGGUAAAUAUUUUUGUCUUCCUUCAGUGGAGGACUUUGGAGCUCUCAGGUGGCUGCUCUCCAUCCCAGGCCUGGCUGUAGGAGGCUACCUGGGUGGGGUGCAGGCCCAUGCCUGGGGUCCUGGCUCCAGAGGCACCACAUGCCACUCAGUGAGGAUAAGAAUCCAUUCUGCAGCUUCUUUCAGCCCCACAUCAAUAAAUGGAGACAGUGGGAAGGGAGCUGUGCUACUUUGAAGGAUUUGGGGGCAGACUAAGAAGAAAACACAUGUGAAAGUGCUUUGUAAGGAUGAGUGCAUGGCGGGGCGACGAGGGGCGUUGGAGGCACAUGCAGCUGGGUAGGAGUUGCACUUUGGUCAUUGGCCAGUUAUGUGGCUUUGGGAACUGUUCAGACUUCUGGAUCUUGGCUUCCUUUUUUGUUAAGUAGGUGAUGAUAGGGAUCUCAUUGGGCUGCUGUGAGGAUGAGGUGUGUUUACAGUGCUUGGCAAAGAGUGGGGCUCCAUGCACAUAACUCCAUUUCCUCUACAUCUACAUUGCUCUGCAAACGAAGGGUGCUAUGACAAUAAACCCACCCCAAGGCCAAAGGAGGGGCGUGCUGGGGGUGGAGAGGGAUGGCUGGGAACUAACUAGCCGGCAUCAGCAAAGGAGGGAUUGUUUUGGUCUUUGUAGGAAAUUAGGAGGAUUGCCUUUCUCAUCUAUUACUUCCAAUGAGUUCUGAUGUUCUGGGGAAUCUUCUCUGAAUGAAUCCUGGUAUUGCUUCAUUUAUACUAUAACUCUGUAGUAUAACUAUAUCCUGUGUAAUCCAAGCCAAAGAUAGAGGGUUUGGGGACGACAGAUAUUUCAACAAUAGUCACUGAGGCAAGGAAUUGUGGAUUCUAGGAUGAGGCAGCAGGUGAAGGGCUUUGGUGCCCACACAGAGGAGAAGAGGGCAACUGGAGCGAGGAAAUGUCUUGCUGUCCUGCCGUUUAGCUCUGGAAGUGUCUCUUGGGACAAUCUUGGAGAAACGUCAACUGAAGUGCUAGUUUAGUAGCAGGGUAGCUGAGUCCUAGCAGUGUUUCGCAUUUCUCCAGUGAAAGCCCUAGAGGACUUGGAUGUCCCCAUCUCUAAAGACACCGGUGGCGGCAGAGGCCCAGCUUCUAAACACUCAGGGUCACACAGGCAUUGGUGCUUGGUAAACGUUUUCUUAUAUAAUUUCAAAGCCAUCUGUGACAUGGCUGUAUCAUCCCCAUUCUACUAGUGAGAAAACCAAUGCCAGGGGAUGGAAAAACAACUUCCUUAUGGUCACACUGCCAGUCAGUGCCUGGUGGGACCCAAGCUGGGCCCCAAUCCCCCAUGUCCCCCUUGGCACCUGUCCUGCUUUAGGGAAGAUGGUCUGUGGUCAAAGCUUAAUCUUUGCUUUGAUAAAGGAUUAAUUCAAAUUUUGGAAUGAAAAGAAGAGAUUUUGAAGCCCUAAAACUGUACUGUGUGACAAAACUCCUGUUCUUGGGAUAUGGUGGCAGAAGUAAGGGAAAGUGUCAGAAAAAGUCCCGCAAGGUGAGAAAAACUGAAAAAGAGACCCCUUUCCUAUAGAGGCUCACGAAGGGGAAAUUGCAACUGUGCGACCCUGUCUGCUAGCUUUCUCUGUCACUUCAUCCCCCAUUCCUGUUGCUGUGUGCACUUUUAUCCAACCCUCUUAAUGUCCAUGGCUGCGCUACCAGCAAAAUCUAACCCCAUCUGCUUGGCUAAGCUUCUUGCGCUCACCUAUACCUGAGGAGUACGACAUCAGGCUUCAGGGCUUAUUGAAGUCAUUACUCACAUCAUUGCACUAAUCACAAACAGAAGUGAAAGUUGUAAAUUGUAUAUAAUUACAUUUCAUAGAGAAAAAAGUAGAUUUAAAAAUGGCAAUUAAUAUUCUUAAUAGCCAAAAGUUAUUGCUAAUUAAUAAGAAAAACAUAAGCACUCCAAUUGAAAAAAAAUGAGCAAAGGUCAUAAAGACAUAAAACUCGCCUGUGGAAACAUACGUAGAGGAAACACAGAAUUAGUGAGUGUGUGUAUGGAAAUAAAUGGAAGGAUAAUGCUUGCUACCCAGUGUGGGCUUUGGGGGUAGAUCUACCUGGACUGAGUUCUGGAUUCACUAUUUACUAGCUCCAUGACCUUCAGCAAAGUAACCUCUCUAAGCCUUUGUUUUUAUCUGUAAAAUAGGGAUACUUAUUUUCCCUGCCUUGAGGGGUUAUUGUGAGGAUAAAAGAAAAUAAUUCUGUAAAGGGCUUAGUAAAGUGCCUGGUGCAGAGAAAUUUUUCAGUGCAGAUUAGCAAUUGUCACUGCUAGUAGUAUAUUUGCAUUGAUAACAAUUAGUAAUUUAACAUCUCACUGAAAUCAAAGAAAUGCAAUUAAAACAACAAAUACAUAUUAUUUGUUACUUAUCAGAUUGGAAAACAGGUGAAAAGAUUGACAGUAACCACUGUUGGUUAGAUGUGGAGAGAUGGGUUCUCUUGUGCAAUUCUGGGAUGGUAGGACCUGAUGCCCCAUUUCUGCAGGGCAAUUUGGCAAUAUACAUUAACGUUGAACAUUCUGAUAGUUUUUGACCCAGUCAUUCUUCUCUCAGAAACUUAUUCCUGGGAGAUAACUGAACAAAUGCACAAUAAUGAAUAUAUAAGAAUGUUUAUCCUGGCAUUUUUUUUUAUAGAAACAAAAAUUCAGAAGCAACUUAAACAUCCUUCAGUGAGAUUGACUAAUAAGUCCUGCUUCAUUUUUAUGACAGAAUGCUACUACUAAUAGCAGUGUUCUAGAUUUUCAUCCACCAUCAUGGAUAAAGCUCUCCGUCAUGUGGAUGGGUAAGAAAACAUGGAGUGGAAAAUGACAUCUAUACUGUGCCCAUGUAUGUGUAUCAAUCUUUUAGUUUAGUAAAAGACACAAGUUUGGGAAAAUGUGCUUUAAAUUGCUUACAUUGUCCUCUUCUUGGGAUCUAAUUUCGUUAUUUGAUUUUUAUGAGUGUCUGUUAUCUUUUUACUCAGAAAAAAAAGGAAAAGGAAAGUUUUUUUUUUUUUGUCCUUUAGCAGCAAAACCUUACACAAAGAUCUACACGUUGAUUUCGCUCCUAUGAACUGACUUGGAGUUAUGUUCCAAGAACGCAUCACCACAGCUUGCUUCCUUUUCUUUCUUCCUUGUUUGUUACUCAGAAGUGUUUCUUCAUUCUUUAGUCUAUGAUUCAUGCAAGAAGACAGAACCAAUGUUUUGCAAGACCUUCCCAUGAAGUAGAAAGAACAGUAGUGUUCACUCCAUAAGAGGCGUGCGCUACCACUUGCCUUGCCUCAUGGGCAAUGAGGAAGUUGCAUGGGUUUCCUACGGCUCUGCAGGGGUGGAGUGAGCCAGAAAGAACUGGUCAGCCCUAGACAUUCAGGUGCUAUCAAAUACCAGCCCUAGGGUCAAGAACACUUAAAAACAAAACAAACUUGAAACUUCCUUUGCUUGUGUUGCUUAGAAUCACUGCGGUAGGAGGAUUCCUGAGGCAUUACCUGGAUAGUCUCAUCUGGCUGGACAUGCAGGAGAACUGGGAGACUGCCGAGACUGCCACGUGGGGUGACUUGAGGGAUCUUUGACACUCUCUGUCUUAAUCUGUUUUGUGUUGCUAUAACAGAAUACACAGACUAAGUAAUUUAUAAAGAAAGGAAAUUUACUUCUCACAGUUUUGGAGGCUGAGAAGUCCAAGACUGAGGGGCUGGCAUCUGACGAGGGCCUUCUUGCUGCUUCAUUCCACGGCAAAAUGGCAAAGAGAAGAUGAGAAGAAAGGCUCAAAGGGACGGUGGGACUUGACUGAGGACCCAGCACCUCCUGGACCUGAAUCAAGGCCCUCUGUCCCGCUGCUUUUGUUGUUGUUUACCCUGCAACUUCACAGCCCUUCAGAAGGCCCUGGACAUCAUGUGCAAGCUCCGUGGAUGGCCUGAGAUUCAUCCUUCCAAGUUGUUUUCUGACUGAGAGGCAACAUUUUAAAUUGUGAUCCCCCCUUACCCCACCACACACACUGAAACAAAAGUUUCAAGAAGUCAUUACCACACAAUGACUCAGAUAUGUUCUAGUCUAGUCUGUCUAUUCCAUUCCAUUCCAGUCUCUUUCCAAACGAAAAUAAAAGGAAGGAAAUGCUGCAUGCGACUUGGUAAGUUAAUUUCAGGACACCUUGGGACUGCUUCCUGCUGCAUGAGGCAUCAGCACACAGCAGGGGAUAUUUUGCAUUCCUGUGUGCACCGUGGGUUAGACAGGCUGCUUGGCCCUAAGUGGAGAAUGGAACUCCAGUAGAAAGGCUGAGAUGCACUGCAAGUAACCACUGCAGAAAGGAGAGGAUGCCCACAGGCAGGCUGAAGUGGACCCGUGUGGAAGGAACACUUCAAGACCACUGGCCAAGAGACUUCCUUCAUUUUUAUCCCUUCCUGUUUUUCGCCUGUGCUGAGGAUUCACCACCAGUGUGGGGAGCCUCUGACUGUAAAAGGAAAGCUGACUCUGGCUCCUUCGUGUUUUCUGUUAAGUUGGGGCCUAAGUUUUUCUGCCAGCCUUUGCGGAGGAAAUGCAGCUUCCCUGGCACACUGCCCGGUCAAGGGACGUUGAAUCCAUUGCAAUCAGCAGUUGAAGAUCCACACUACAGGCCAUGUUCUUAAAAUAAGUGGCUCCAGGACUUCCAAGAGGCAGAAGGGGCUUCAGCUGGCCAUGGGCAGGAUCCAAGUGGAGCUUCAUCCCUGCAGAGCAAUGCCUGGCUCUCAGCGGAGGCAGUCUGGAGCAGGGCUUCUACCCUUUUCAGCUCAUAGAUUACUUUGGAAUCUGAUGAACACUGGGAGCCUUCUCCUUAGAAGAACAUACAUAUGCACGAGAAUGAGACAAUUACAUAACAUUCCUUGGGUUUCACAGAUGCUGAAGCCAAUGACUUGCUUGAAGCCUGGAAGAGGGUGUUGACCUGGAGAAUCCUAAAGGCCAAAAUUUAGAGAAAAUGGUGCCAGUAAAUGAAUUCACAAGGAGAAAUGCUUCCUUGCCAACUCACUUCUCCAGAUUAUUGAGUGCAUCUAUCUGUUUGCUUUUGGCUUCACGCAAUUGGCCCUCUUCAGUUCCGUACUCUUUCCUAAAUACCUUGCAAGUUUUCCUCUUCUCUCAUGCCAUUUAUAAUAUGCUGACGCCUGAUUAGAGGAAGGAAGGACUCAGCUGCACUUGCACUGGGGGAAGGGCCACUUACAGGAAGCCUACCUGGGGCUGAGCUGGGUCUCACUGCCUCCUAGACCUAAGGGCCCCAGCUUUUCCCUCAUCUCUUGUUGCAGCCACCACUUGUUCUAGAUCUGCAUCCAUAUCUGUAAAAUGGGGGUGAUAAUACCUUCCCAUAAAGUCACUGUGAGGAUUAAAUGUCCGGCACAAUA
Long non-coding RNA from Homo sapiens (human), 9180 nucleotides. RefSeq lists it as uncharacterized. The record is from RefSeq and is a predicted model, not a curated record. Lineage: Eukaryota; Metazoa; Chordata; Mammalia; Primates; Hominidae. The transcript has 2 exons.